This 434-nucleotide ribosomal RNA is filed under the name uncultured bacterium. Its description in RNAcentral is "partial 16S ribosomal RNA". It matches the Rfam family "Bacterial small subunit ribosomal RNA", at positions 29 to 508 of the family's 1533-position model. The record is from RNAcentral.
AGCGAACGCUGGCGGCAGGCCUAACACAUGCAAGUCGAACGGAUCCUUCGGGAUUAGUGGCGGACGGGUGAGUAACACGUGGGAACGUGCCCUUUGGUUCGGAACAACUCAGGGAAACUUGAGCUAAUACCGGAUGUGCCCUUCGGGGGAAAGAUUUAUCGCCAUUGGAGCGGCCGGCGUCUGAUUAGCUAGUUGGUGAGGUAACGGCCCACCAAGGCGACGAUCAGUAGCUGGUCUGAGAGGAUGAUCAGCCACACUGGGACUGAGACACGGCCCAGACUCCUACGGGAGGCAGCAGUGGGGAAUCUUGCGCAAUGGGCGAAAGCCUGACGCAGCCAUGCCGCGUGAAUGAUGAAGGUCUUAGGAUUGUAAAAUUCUUUCAGCGGGGACGAUAAUGACGGUACCCGCAGAAGAAGCUCCGGCUAACUUCGUGC